AUAUUCACUUGAUUUUCAUAGCAUGUUAAAUUGAUUAAAACUUUAAAGUUAUAGAAGCUGUAAAGAAAAGAAAAAUAUGGGGAGAACAUGUAGCAAAGCGCAUCCUGAGACACAGGCUAUGUGUGAUAAGUUACAGAAAGCCGAUCGCGACCUGGACUCCACCCCACCGCGACGCCCACAGCCAAUAAGGAGGGAGGAACCUGCAGUUUCAGAGGCGCCUCCUCACAAUAAAGCAGCCCAGCCUACGCCACUCUAUCCGAACCAGUCAGAACUGAGCCACCAACCCCCACCGAACUAUGCGCCAGCCAUCCUAGCUUCACUGGUGGCGUUACACCCAAGAUACCAAGUGAAGGGACCAAGAACAUUGCUGCCUGAGGGCUUCAGACCAACAAAAUCAGACAGAGAAGGGACAAUGCACGCCUCGGUGAAUGUCCCAAUGCUAGAAGUGGCCCUAUGCUAGUUCACAG
This is a long non-coding RNA of Ictalurus punctatus (channel catfish), 467 nucleotides long. Lineage: Eukaryota; Metazoa; Chordata; Actinopteri; Siluriformes; Ictaluridae. The record is from Ensembl.